This 73-nucleotide transfer RNA is filed under the name Perkinsus olseni. RNAcentral describes it as "tRNA-Arg". It matches the Rfam family "tRNA". Rfam says of the family: Transfer RNA (tRNA) molecules are approximately 80 nucleotides in length. Their secondary structure includes four short double-helical elements and three loops (D, anti-codon, and T loops). Further hydrogen bonds mediate the characteristic L-shaped molecular structure. tRNAs have two regions of fundamental functional importance: the anti-codon, which is responsible for specific mRNA codon recognition, and the 3' end, to which the tRNAs corresponding amino acid is attached (by aminoacyl-tRNA synthetases). tRNAs cope with the degeneracy of the genetic code in two manners: having more than one tRNA (with a specific anti-codon) for a particular amino acid; and 'wobble' base-pairing, i.e. permitting non-standard base-pairing at the 3rd anti-codon position. The record is from RNAcentral. Lineage: Eukaryota; Perkinsozoa; Perkinsida; Perkinsidae.
GAUUUCGCGGCGUAGUGGAUAAGGCGUUGGUCUUCGGAAUUAAAGAUUGUGGGUUCGGGUCCCUCCGAGAUCG